CCUACGGGUGGCAGCAGUGGGGAAUAUUGCACAAUGGGCGAAACCCUGAUGCAGCAACGCCGCGUGAAGGAUGAAGGGUUUCGGCUUGUAAACUUCUAUCAACGGGGACGAAAGAAAUGACGGUACCCGAAUAAGAAGCCACGGCUAACUACGUGCCAGCAGCCGCGGUAAUACGCAGGUGGCAAGCGUUAUCCGGAAUUACUGGGUGUAAAGGGUGAGUAGGCGGCUUGGUAAGCCGGAUGUGAAAGGCUUGGGAUUAACCCGAGGAUUACAUCUGAAACUAUCAGACUAGAGUACAGGAGAGGGAAGCGGAAUUCCUAGUGUAGCGGUGAAAUGCGUAGAUAUUAGGAGGAACACCAGUGGCGAAGGCGGCUUUCUGGACUGUAACUGACGCUGAGGCACGAAAGCGUGGGGAGCGAACAGGAUUAGAUACCCUGGUAGUC
RNAcentral lists this ribosomal RNA (443 nucleotides) under uncultured bacterium. RNAcentral describes it as "partial 16S ribosomal RNA". It matches the Rfam family "Bacterial small subunit ribosomal RNA", at positions 338 to 795 of the family's 1533-position model. The record is from RNAcentral.